Molecule: ribosomal RNA, 494 nt
Filed under: uncultured bacterium
Lineage: Bacteria
Description: partial 16S ribosomal RNA
Rfam family: Bacterial small subunit ribosomal RNA
Source: RNAcentral
GACGAACGCUGGCGGCGUGCUUAACACAUGCAAGUCGAACGGAAAGGCCUGCUUUCCCUUGUGGAUUGCGGGUACUCGAGUGGCGAACGGGUGAGUAACACGUGAGUGAUCUGCCCCCAACUUGGGUAUAAGCCUGGGAAACUGGGUCUAAUUCCCGAUAGGACUGCAGGGUGGUGCCUGUGGUGGAAAACGAUUUUCUAGUGGUUGGGGAUGAGCUCGCGGCCUAUCAGCGUGUUGGUGGGGUAAUGGCCUACCAAGGCGGCGACGGGUAGCCGGGCUGAGAGGGUGGACGGCCACAUUGGGACGGAGAUACGGCCCAGAAUGCUACGGAGGGCAGCAGUGGGGAAUAUUGCGCGAGGAGCGGAAGCCUGAUGCAGCGACGCCGGGGGAGAGAUGACGGCCUUCGGGUUGUAAACUCCUUUCGACCGAGAGGAAGCCACCUGGUUGGAAGGGUGGUGACGGUAGUGGUAGAAGAAGCACCGGCUAACUACGUG